CAGUGGGGAAUUUUGGACAAUGGGCGCAAGCCUGAUCCAGCCAUGCCGCGUGCAGGAUGAAGGCCUUCGGGUUGUAAACUGCUUUUGUACGGAACGAAAAGGUUUCUUUUAAUACAGGGAACUGAUGACGGUACCGUAAGAAUAAGCACCGGCUAACUACGUGCCAGCAGCCGCGGUAAUACGUAGGGUGCGAGCGUUAAUCGGAAUUACUGGGCGUAAAGCGUGCGCAGGCGGUAAUGUAAGACAGAGGUGAAAUCCCCGGGCUCAACCUGGGAACUGCCUUUGUGACUGCAUUGCUGGAGUGCGGCAGAGGGGGAUGGAAUUCCGCGUGUAGCAGUGAAAUGCGUAGAUAUGCGGAGGAACACCGAUGGCGAAGGCAAUCCCCUGGGCCUGCACUGACGCUCAUGCACGAAAGCGUGGGGAGCAAACAGGAUUAGAUACCCUGGUAGUCCACGCCCUAAACG
This 464-nucleotide ribosomal RNA is filed under the name Pseudacidovorax sp. Its description in RNAcentral is "bacterial SSU rRNA". It matches the Rfam family "Bacterial small subunit ribosomal RNA", at positions 352 to 808 of the family's 1533-position model. The record is from RNAcentral. Lineage: Bacteria; Pseudomonadati; Pseudomonadota; Betaproteobacteria; Burkholderiales; Comamonadaceae.